UGAGUAACGCGUAUCCAACCUUCCGUACACUCAGGGAUAGCCUUUCGAAAGAAAGAUUAAUACCCGAUGGUAUGAUGAGAUUGCAUGAUAGCAUCAUUAAAGAUUUAUCGGUGUACGAUGGGGAUGCGUUCCAUUAGGUAGUAGGCGGGGUAACGGCCCACCUAGCCGACGAUGGAUAGGGGUUCUGAGAGGAAGGUCCCCCACAUUGGAACUGAGACACGGUCCAAACUCCUACGGGAGGCAGCAGUGAGGAAUAUUGGUCAAUGGACGAGAGUCUGAACCAGCCAAGUAGCGUGAAGGAUGAAGGUCCUACGGAUUGUAAACUUC
Molecule: ribosomal RNA, 327 nt
Filed under: uncultured bacterium
Lineage: Bacteria
Description: bacterial SSU rRNA
Rfam family: Bacterial small subunit ribosomal RNA
Source: RNAcentral